GCAAGUCGAGCGGAGACAGUGAGUAGCUUGCUAUGAGCUGUUUUAGCGGCGGACGGGUGAGUAACGCGUGAGCAACCUUUCCCAGACAGGGGAAUAACACACCGAAAGGUGUACUAAUACCGCAUAAGACCACGGGAUCACAUGGUUCUGGGGUAAAAGAUUUAUCGGUUUGGGGUGGGCUCGCGUCCGAUUAGGUAGUUGGUGAGGUAACGGCCCACCAAGCCGACGAUCGGUAGCCGACCUGAGAGGGUGAUCGGCCACAUUGGGACUGAGACACGGCCCAAACUCCUACGGGAGGCAGCAGUGGGGAAUAUUGGGCAAUGGGGGGAACCCUGACCCAGCAACGCCGCGUGGAGGAAGAAGGUUUUCGGAUCGUAAACUCCUGUCCUUGGAGACGAGUAGAAGACGGUAUCCAAGGAGGAAGCCCCGGCUAACUACGUGCCAGCAGCCGCGGUAAUACGUAGGGGGCAAGCGUUGUCCGGAAUAAUUGGGCGUAAAGGGCGCGUAGGCGGCUCGGUAAGUCUGGAGUGAAAGUCCUGCUUUUAAGGUGGGAAUUGCUUUGGAUACUGUCGGGCUUGA
This 579-nucleotide ribosomal RNA is filed under the name uncultured bacterium. RNAcentral describes it as "bacterial SSU rRNA". It matches the Rfam family "Bacterial small subunit ribosomal RNA", at positions 57 to 645 of the family's 1533-position model. The record is from RNAcentral.